This 467-nucleotide ribosomal RNA is filed under the name uncultured bacterium. RNAcentral's name for it is "partial 16S ribosomal RNA". It matches the Rfam family "Bacterial small subunit ribosomal RNA", at positions 29 to 507 of the family's 1533-position model. The record is from RNAcentral.
ACGAACGCUGGCGGCGUGCUUCACCCAUGCAAGUCGAACGGAAAGGCCCUGCUUUUGUGGGGUGCUCGAGUGGCGAACGGGUGAGUAACACGUGAGUAACCUGCCCUUGACUUUGGGAUAACUUCAGGAAACUGGGGCUAAUACCGGAUAGGAGCUCCUGCUGCAUGGUGGGGGUUGGAAAGUUUCGGCGGUUGGGGAUGGACUCGCGGCUUAUCAGCUUGUUGGUGGGGUAGUGGCUUACCAAGGCUUUGACGGGUAGCCGGCCUGAGAGGGUGACCGGCCACAUUGGGACUGGGAUACGGCCCAGACUCCUACGGGAGGCAGCAGUGGGGAAUAUUGCACAAGGGGCGGAAGCCUGAUGCAGCAACGCCGCGUGCGGGAUGACGGCCUUCGGGUUGUAAACCGCUUUCGCCUGUGACGAGGCGUGAGUGACGGUAAUGGGUAAAGAAGCACCGGCUAACUACGUG